CCUACGGGUGGCAGCAGUCGAGAAUCUUUCACAAUGGGGGCAACCCUGAUGGAGCGACGCCGCGUGGAGGAUAAGGUCUUCGGAUUGUAAACUCCUGUCAUGCGAGAGCAAGAUACCUUUAGUAACUUUAAGUUAUUUGAUAGUAUCGCAAGAGGAAGAGACGGCUAACUCUGUGCCAGCAGCCGCGGUAAUACNGAGGUCUCAAGCGUUGUUCGGAAUUACUGGGCGUAAAGGGUGCGUAGGUGGCGUGGAAAGUCAGAUGUGAAAUCCGGGGGCUCAACCUCCGAAUAGCAUCCGAUACUGCCAUGCUAGAGAACUGGAGGGGGAUCUGGAAUUCUCGGUGUAGCAGUGAGAUGCGUAGAUAUCGAGAGGAACACUAGUGGCGAAGGCGAGAUCCUGGACAGUUUCUGACACUGAUGCACGAAGGCCAGGGGAGCGAACGGGAUUAGAUACCCCGGUAGUCCUGGCAGUAAACGGUGCACGUUUGGUGUGGGAGGAAUCGACCCCUUCUGUGCCGGAGCUAGCGCGUUAAACGUGCCGCCUGGGAAGUACGGUCGCAAGAUUAAAACUCAAAGAAAUUGACGGGGACCCGCACAAGCGGUGGAGUAUGUGGCUUAAUUCGAUGCAACGCGAAGAACCU
This 640-nucleotide ribosomal RNA is filed under the name uncultured bacterium. RNAcentral describes it as "bacterial SSU rRNA". It matches the Rfam family "Bacterial small subunit ribosomal RNA", at positions 338 to 971 of the family's 1533-position model. The record is from RNAcentral.